GAUGAACGCUGGCGGCGUGCCUAAUACAUGCAAGUCGAGCGAACGGACGAGAAACUUGCUUCUCUGAUGUUAGCGGCGGACGGGUGAGUAACACGUGGAUAACCUACCUAUAAGACUGGGAUAACUUCGGGAAACCGGAGCUAAUACCGGAUAAUAUUUUGAACCGCAUGGUUCGAAAGUGAAAGACGGUCUUGCUGUCACUUAUAGAUGGAUCCGCGCUGCAUUAGCUAGUUGGUAAGGUAACGGCUUACCAAGGCAACGAUGCAUAGCCGACCUGAGAGGGUGAUCGGCCACACUGGAACUGAGACACGGUCCAGACUCCUACGGGAGGCAGCAGUAGGGAAUCUUCCGCAAUGGGCGAAAGCCUGACGGAGCAACGCCGCGUGAGUGAUGAAGGUCUUCGGAUCGUAAAACUCUGUUAUUAGGGAAGAACAUAUGUGUAAGUAACUGUGCACAUCUUGACGGUACCUAAUCAGAAAGCCACGGCUAACUACGUG
Molecule: ribosomal RNA, 497 nt
Filed under: uncultured bacterium
Lineage: Bacteria
Description: partial 16S ribosomal RNA
Rfam family: Bacterial small subunit ribosomal RNA
Source: RNAcentral